Molecule: ribosomal RNA, 253 nt
Filed under: uncultured bacterium
Lineage: Bacteria
Description: partial 16S ribosomal RNA
Rfam family: Bacterial small subunit ribosomal RNA
Source: RNAcentral
UACAGAGGUCCCAAGCGUUGUUCGGAUUCACUGGGCGUAAAGGGUGCGUAGGUGGCCAGGUAAGUUCGGUGUGAAAGCUCGGAGCUUAACUCCGAAAUGUCAUUGAAUACUAUCUGGCUUGAGGGUCGGAGGGGAGACUGGAAUUUACGGUGUAGCGGUGAAAUGCGUAGAUAUCGUAAGGAAGACCAGUGGCGAAGGCGGGUCUCUGGACAGUUCCUGACGCUGAGGCACGAAGGUCAGGGGAGCAAACGGG